GAGUUAUUACACGUGUCAUUCCUACUGUUCCAACUCACUCCGAUACUCAUUUUCUCAAGAGCUGCAGAAGAAGAGUAACAUCCACUCUACUACAUCGUGAGAAUAUGGUCCUCGCCUGGCGCCUCGUUCUGGUCGUUGCUAUGUUGAUGCCUGUGGUCAUGGGAUAUCCUGAUGUCCCCGAAGAACCUGAUACGUGUCUUCCGUUUCCGGCUCCGUGCGAGCGCAGCGAUGAAUGCUGCGAGAAGAUUUGCAACUACCACUUCAUGCACCCGGAAGUGAUGGUUUGCUACUAAUGACUUCAGGCUUACGAAUAAAGUAUUUCGACUAAGUGCUUGUUCUCCUCUACAUCGAAUAAACGUGUUCGUGUCAACAA
Long non-coding RNA from Ornithodoros turicata, 373 nucleotides. RefSeq lists it as uncharacterized. The transcript is spliced from 3 exons. Lineage: Eukaryota; Metazoa; Arthropoda; Arachnida; Ixodida; Argasidae. The record is from RefSeq and is a predicted model, not a curated record.